Molecule: ribosomal RNA, 472 nt
Filed under: Acinetobacter sp.
Lineage: Bacteria; Pseudomonadati; Pseudomonadota; Gammaproteobacteria; Moraxellales; Moraxellaceae
Description: bacterial SSU rRNA
Rfam family: Bacterial small subunit ribosomal RNA
Source: RNAcentral
GAUUGAACGCUGGCGGCAGGCUUAACACAUGCAAGUCGAGCGGGGAGAUGUAGCUUGCUACAUUUCCUAGCGGCGGACGGGUGAGUAAUGCUUAGGAAUCUGCCUAUUAGUGGGGGACAACAUUCCGAAAGGAAUGCUAAUACCGCAUACGUCCUACGGGAGAAAGCAGGGGAUCUUCGGACCUUGCGCUAAUAGAUGAGCCUAAGUCAGAUUAGCUAGUUGGUGGGGUAAAGGCCUACCAAGGCGACGAUCUGUAGCGGGUCUGAGAGGAUGAUCCGCCACACUGGGACUGAGACACGGCCCAGACUCCUACGGGAGGCAGCAGUGGGGAAUAUUGGACAAUGGGCGCAAGCCUGAUCCAGCCAUGCCGCGUGUGUGAAGAAGGCCUUUUGGUUGUAAAGCACUUUAAGCGAGGAGGAGGCUACUUGGAUUAAUACUCUAGGAUAGUGGACGUACUCGCAGAUAGCCCGAU